CAAUGACUUUUAACUUAUAGGUAAGGACCUUGGUUGCUUCACAUUUCCUUCUUGGCGGUGGUGUUUCCCAAAUUCGCUUGCCACCUACUGCUUGGUUUGAAGUGUCGGUAAAACGUGCCUCUCCACCGAUGCUAAUUUCUUGUCGAGCCACCCUUUAUUAAAUACCGCCGAUGCUAAUUUCUUCUCUUUCUUUUGGAUUUUUUACUACUUCUCUCUCUAGACAAUGCUUUGGGUGAGUCUUUUCGACCUCAAAUCGAAGCUACAAUAUUAGGGCUUUUUUAUCUUCUUGUUUUUGUUUGUUGGAUUUUAUGUCAAUCUCCACACAAAGCUUGACUGGUUGUGUUUAUUUUAACAAUUUCAAAUACAUAAGUAGUUGAAUCGAUUCCGCUCACCUUUAUAGCAUCGAUCCCCCAUCCUCUAUAGAAAUUUUUUUUCGGUUAAGUUUGAAAGAGGAAGGUAUACAAGUUUCUAUUCUGUCGGGACAAUUGAUGUCGUCGUAGUGGUCUAGGGCAGCUCAUUCACCAUAAACCAGGCAAGUUGAUGUACCGCAAUCGUGCCUGGCUUAAUCUUCAGAUCGCUAUAACUGAGAAGCAGCAUUUCAUAGCAAUUGUUAGGGAUCUCAAAUUGAUGAAACACAGUUGAUGUGGACACAUUUUUUCAAAUCGGGAUCUCCUGAGGUACCCCAAAAUUUCAAAUAUUUACCUUAUUUCGGGAGCUGACAUGGCGUUCGUCAUGGCUAUCUGAUGUUUUAGCUUGUAAGCAAAAUGGAACUUUCCUUAUAAACAUCAUCACCAGGAUUUUGUUACGACAUUGUAGUAGAUAGAUCAGUUGAAAAGUUCAAGAAAAUUACUAGAGACAUGUUAGAUUUACAUGUCUCUUGCAUUUAAUGGGCAAGAAAAGAGUUAGCAGUAAGUUUUUUUAUGGUGAAUAAAAUCUUUCUUCAUACAUAUUUUAGAUUACUGAUUUUUCUAUAUUUGCUUUUUAGUUUCGUGGUUCUUUAAGCUGUAGGGAAUGGUGUGGAUUUUUGUUGCAUACUUUUACUUUUAUGAAGCUUAUUGAUAUAAGAAUGUACGUAAGUAUCUAUUUCAUUCAUUAGAGAUUAUGAUGAAUACCUAUAAUUGACGUCUGAUGAGGAAGAAGUAUAUAGUUGACUUUAAUUGGGAAGGAAUGGUAAGAGGAAGAAUGUGGAUACUUGUAUGAAAAGAGAAGAAAGAUUUAUUGGGUUAUCAUGGCAGAAUAGGGGAUGUAGGUGUCACGAGGGUAUAAGUUUGGAAAAAUGGGAGUCCUUGUGUUCUUUUUGGUUAUUCGGUUAUAACGGUUAAUCGUUUUCCAGUUGGUAUACGCUCUUUUGAUGUAAUCAUAAACACAAACCCAGAAACAUCAGUCCCUAUGGUGGUUAGUGGCUAAGGGUCAAUUGAUAAAUGCUCUUUUGGUCCAUUACUACAGUCUACAUAUCACAAGAACUUCUAUUAAUGGUCACAUUGAACUACUGUUAUGUACUAGCUUUAUUUAGAUGGGAUCUUUAGGAUAAUGCAUCGAAUUGGGGCCUACAAUUGGAUGUUUGCUCUUAAAAGACAUGUAAAUUUGUAUCUAUUGUUCAUGUUUUAAGUGGUAAAAAAUUUGAUUUUGUGAAUUGGUCUUUUGCUCUUGAAAUUUUGUAGUAACUCGGAAGUUGAGGUUUCAGAGACUCGAAACAAUCUGAAUACCAACAAUAUUAAGGUCUUUCACCCGAGCUUUUCUUCACGAUGUCUCAUGAAAUUUACAUCUAUGGGUUAAUUUUGAAAGUAACAGCAUAUCACAAUCAUAAUUGGAUUUUUGAAGAGCUAACCGAUCAAAAACUUCAUUUAUCGUCUAAUUGGACUAACUUAAUGGACUUGGUAAGUAGAUAUUUAAGAAUUUCUUCUCAAUAUCAUUAAUUAAACUUUUUGUUAUCACACACGUUUAACUAAAGUUAACUUUAGAGGUGUCAGAAGUAUUUAUUUCAAACACCUAUAAUGAGUCUUAUUUUCUAGAUUUCAAUACAAUCUUCAAUUAAAAUUCAUUAGAUUUAUUUAUUUUAGCAAAUUAAAUGUAUAUGUUCUUACACAGCUUCAAACAAAUUGUUGAUGCAUUACAUUAAAAUUUUGAAGUUUAGAAGAAAACCUUUCAUAGGAAAUAAUUUAUAUUUGAACGAUUUUAUUUUUGAAAUUAACGUUUAAUGAGAGGUAUUAUAUAUAUUUUGAACAAUUGUAAUAACUUUUUAUUUUUUAUUAUUUUAUUUUAGAAUGCAACUAAAUAGUGCAUGUCAUAACAAUUUGGAUUAGACUUCAAAAUGUUCGAUGAAUGCUUUCAAGUUCAUUAAACUAUUUUUAAUUGAACAUUUCCGAAAUAUUUAAAAUUUCAUCAACUUUAAUAUGUGAUUAUUUAGGUUUCUUUACAUAGGGUUUUCAUGAUCUUAGCAAUUACAAAUUUUUUUUCCUUAUUUGGAAAAGAACGUUAGUUUAUAUUUGUAUACUUCAUUUUCAAUAUUUUUUUCCCUUUCUUGAAUACUUUCCUUUACUAAGAUGCGAUAUAAGUAUAACUAAAAAUAUUAACAUGUUGUCUAUUGUAUGAAAAAAUACUACUUUUUGAUUGACUGGACCAUCUCAGUGAGCAAAUGACCAUCUUACCCUUCGAUCUACAAGUAAAUUUGAAUAAAAGACGAAUUAUUUGAGAACUACUUUGGUAUACAUAAACCAUAAUGCGUAUGUUGUCUCUUGAAGCAGAUUUGUUACUCUAGGGAUGAUGCUCAAUUGUAAUUGUACCUGAGAUUGGAUAGAAAAGAUUUAUUUUGAAUAAAAGUUAUGUUGUAUCUGGUCACUGUGCAUGUUGUUUGAUAUUCUUUUGGUAAGAAACAAGGAUGACAACAAAAAAGAACAUAAAAUGCAUGUCGGUGAAAAGACUAAAAUGCCCUUGUACUGACAGGCGAGCCAAUAAUUCUAUGCAUUUAGAUGGAUCACAUUGUUAUUGAUUCAGAAAUUCUGACUUUUCUGCCGGUCUUCACAUAUGGAAUACACUCUUAAGUGAUCCUAAGAGACCUGAAGUGAGUCAACCCAUAUUUCUAUUUAUAUAAAUACAAGGGUAAAAUGGUCAUUUACUUUGAUUAUCUUCCAUUUACAAGAAAAUCUCCUUCAUGUUUGUUUUGCAAUGUUGUUCUGGUUCUGAGGCGAUUUCACACCUAAUCUAAGUUAUGAAAGUUACCCUUCCACAAAGAUUGGUCAUUUGCUUCAUCUUGCAAACAAGUUGUAGUCUUGUUAAAUUCACUGAUUCUGAAGGAAUUUUUUAUUAGUAAUAUUAUAAUCAUUUUUACCUUUUUAGGUUUCUUCAUUUUGUUGGUAGUUUUGUUUUAAUUGAGAGAGCUUGAUUACAACGAGCAAUGUAAAUGCAGUAAUGAAAAAAGAAUUUGUGAAGAGACUUGCAUCUACAUAGAGUCAUCCAGGAGGAAAUUGGGAAUUGUCCACAGUUAGGAUCUGGAUACAAGGAUAUGAGCUACGUUGAACUACAGCAAGUAACGAGUAACCAUUUUAGUUUUAGGAUUUUGAGUUCUUGGAUUUGAGAAAAUAAUUAACCAUUAUAUACUUGUCAAUAUAACUGUUAUUAUUCAUUGGAUGUUGUACGAGUAAGAAAA
Non-coding RNA from Lactuca sativa (garden lettuce), 3646 nucleotides. NCBI's taxonomy places the organism in Eukaryota, Viridiplantae, Streptophyta, Magnoliopsida, Asterales, Asteraceae. The record is from RefSeq and is a predicted model, not a curated record.